AUACUUACCUGGCAGGGGAGGUGCCGUGACCGCCCAGGGGGCUUUCCCGGGGCCGGCGGGAGCCACUGCCCUGGGCAUCCCCCGACCCCGGCGAUUUCCCCACGUGGGGAGACGCGCCGCGUGUGCCGGGGGCGGCUGAGAGCACGCUUUCGCGGCCU
RNAcentral lists this small nuclear RNA (158 nucleotides) under Dasypus novemcinctus (nine-banded armadillo). RNAcentral describes it as "U1 spliceosomal RNA (ENSDNOG00000027250.1)". The stretch from base 1 to 124 matches the Rfam family "U1 spliceosomal RNA". Rfam says of the family: U1 is a small nuclear RNA (snRNA) component of the spliceosome (involved in pre-mRNA splicing). Lineage: Eukaryota; Metazoa; Chordata; Mammalia; Cingulata; Dasypodidae. The record is from RNAcentral.